UGAUAAUUAGUUUAAGUAAAAACAAAUGAUUUCGACUCAUUAGACUAUGGAUCAACCAUAAUUAUCAA
This 68-nucleotide transfer RNA is filed under the name Ochotona thibetana (Moupin pika). Its description in RNAcentral is "tRNA-Arg". It matches the Rfam family "tRNA". Rfam says of the family: Transfer RNA (tRNA) molecules are approximately 80 nucleotides in length. Lineage: Eukaryota; Metazoa; Chordata; Mammalia; Lagomorpha; Ochotonidae. The record is from RNAcentral.